CAGCUGUCCUAAUGUCCAUCUGUCACUUAGCCAGCCUCCUGCAUGGCUUCCUCUGGGCACAGUGACCCAUGCCUGUAAUCCCAGCACUUUGGGGGUUCGAAAAAGGUGUAUCACCUGAGUUCAGAAGUUCGAAACCAGACUGGUCAACAUGACAAAAUGCCAUCUCUCUUAAAAAAUACAAAGAUUACUUGAGCAUCGUGGCAGGCACCUAUAAUCUCAGCUACUCCAGAAUCUCAGUCAGGAGAAUCACUUGAACCCAGGAGGCAGAGGUUACAGUGAGCUAAGAUCACGCCACUGCACUCCUGGCUGGUAACAAAGCAAGACUCUAUCUCAAAAAAUAACAAAAUACCUUCCGAGGCAGCUGCCUUCUGAUGAUGACCCUCUCCCAGUUAAGCACAGACCCCGAACUCCUGCCUGACCCUAAAGUGCCAGGUGAUGCUGCCCAUGCACUCCUCUGGCCACACUGAGUGUCCUCUGAGUCAUGCUGCUCCCUCUGCCUAGGUAUUUGCUGUCCCCUGUCUCAGAGCCUUCACUCCCUCUUCCAGGCUCCAUCCCCUCAUCCUCUGCCUGCCCAGCACCCACCUCCUGGUCAUUUAACAUGUAGCUCAGGUUGUAAUCCCAGUACUUUUGGAGGCCAGGGGCAGAGGGUCACUGGAGCCCAAGAGCUUGAGGCCAGCCUGGGCAACAGAGUGAGACCCCACAACUCCACCAAAAAUGUAAAAGGAAGAAAGAAAGAUGUAGCUCAGGUAUUACCCACCUCCAGGUAGCCUUCCUGAUGGCAUUAUACCCAGGUGGGCUCAGGGGCAGCCUCUGUUCUCUGGGCAUCAGAAGCCCCUCCCUGGGGCAGCGGUCCUGGGUCAGCUUCUGCAGGAGUCCAGGAACAGGAUGAUGGUGGAUGGAUCAGGACUGAGGGUCAGAGAUGCAGAGAGGCAGACAGCUUUGGGAUGCAGUUGGUGGGAUCAGUGGGACUUGCUGCAGGGUGACUGUCAGGGUGCAGGGGAGAAUUCCGGACCAGCCAUGUCUUCAUCUCUCUCUUCCUUCCAAUCCCAGGAGAGAAAACGAGGCAGAAGGACUUGUGGGCCCGACUCACCAGCUCCAUCCUCAGGAACUCGAGGACCAUCAAGUUCCAUGGCUGCGAGUGAGCCUUUCUGGACAGAGUUCUGUGCAUCCGAGGCAGAUCAGUGACUUCAGAAAGUGUACGAAUGUUGUGAGGCAAGGCGGAAGGAUCACAUGAAAUCAGGAAUUUGGGACCAGGCUGGCCAAGAAGGUGAAACCCUGUCUCUACCAAAAAUACAAAACUUAACUGAGUGUGGUGGUGCACGCCUCUAGGCCCAGGUUCUCAGGAGGCUGAGGCAGGUGAAUUGCUUGAAUCUGGAAAGUGGAGGUUGCAGUGAGUCGAGAUCGUGCCACUGCACUCCAGCCAGGUACAAAUAGCAGCUUUAGACUUGAUCCCACCAGGCAUGACCACUGGGCACGUUCAGCAGUGGAUCACCGAUUCUGCCUCAGUUUCCAGUGUCUUCUCAGGGGCCUGGAGUGGAGCGUCUGAAACCGGGCUGGAUGUCUUGCUGCAUAAAUACUCUCUCCACUUCCACCUGUGCCAUCAGCCUGGGUGAAGACUCAUGUCAGGGGAGAGCCAUCUUCCGCCUACAGCCCCACCUGUCUGAUGGCUGAGACUUCUGCCUCAUUUUCAGAACUCCCAGGGGCCCUUGAACGUCUUGUUAUUUGCUAUAUGUGCAAGUACAGAUUGCCUGUGCCUCCCCUCAGACCUUCCUGCCGCUCCCUAUAGAGCUGUCUGAAGCCUGGAAAUGUUUAUUUGCCUUUGGAGAAAUUCUACUUCCAUCUGCCCCAGACUCAUCAAAAGUACAGUAACUGCCAUCACUCUAACUUUCUGGAGCCUGUUCCAGCAGACAGGAGGGCUCUUCAAGUCCUUUUUGUAACCCCAUUUAAGAUAAGGAAACUGAGGCAAAUGAGUUCAUGAAUUCAAAGUGCCAGAGCUUGGGUUCAACCUCGAAUCCCUGGGCCCAGGGGUUCGAGGUUUGGGUUCAACCUUAAAGUUUAUGGGAUUUAAGGUUGGUGUGGGAACUGUUCUGUUUGGCACCCCCUCCCCGUGUGGGUCAAGGUUGUGUCCUGGGUUGCUUGCAGAGCCCCAGUUUAUGCCUGCUGACCUGACGCAUUUGUAACUAGUGUUGUCUUUAACUGCAAAAUGUUGUGGUUUGGGAGAGAAAUUCUGUGCUCACCCUGUUCACCUGCACCCUGAGGAAGCUCUGAUGCCACCACGCAGCCUCUGAUACACACUGGAGAAAGCCGGCACUAGGAUGUGCCUGUCAGCAGGAAGAGCUGCAAGCAUCUACACCCACAUGUAGACAUAUUUGUACACAUACAUUCAUAUACACACAUCCAUAUAUAUACAUGUCUUUAUAUACAUCCACACACACGUCUGUAUACCCACACAUUCUUACACAUGUCUACAUAUAGACACCUUCAUGUACACAUUACUGUACACACACAUCCAUAUCCACACAUUCAUACACACAUCUCUGUAUUUCGGUAUAUCUGUAUGCAUACAUGUCUACACACAUCCAUGUACAGAUAAAUCUGUUCACAGAUGCACACACAUUUGUACACACACAUCUGCACACACGUCAGUGGGGAUCAGGAAAACAGCAUUAAGUAGUGAGGGUCUGGUAAUAGUAUUGUUUUGACACAUUUUGAGUGAACUGACUAGCUAGUGGCUAUCAGAGUGGUGUGUGGGGUGUGUCUGCAAGUUGGCAGGGCCAUCAAAUGUGGUAUUUGUAGUUGCUUGUGGCUUUUCUAGAGGAUCUUUCAUGUGGAGCCUUGGAGUAUAGUGAGCUGUUCCUACGGCCCAUCUGCCAGUGUCUGCACCAGUGACCAACAAAGUUCUGGCUUCACGGGCCUCAAAGACUUUGGAUUGCACAGUAAGAAACACUAGUGUGCCAUCAUUGGACGUGUCUGGUCACCACAUGGAGAUCCGUUGCCAGCGGUGGGAUGGGAGCCGGGAGAGCCAGGAGUAUGUUGCAGUCAGACAGGCUCAAUAACCAGGGCUGGAGCUGGUGUGCAGCGGAGGUGGCAGUUGGGGUUGACUCUAGUCACAUUCCAUAGCAAUGGUCGACUGAGUUCCUGAAGGAUUCAUCGAGGGGUUGUCAAGGAGAGAAGAGGAGUCUUCUGUGUUUAUGUCUGAGUUUAUAACACAGGUUUCUAAUUUUGAGAAAUCCUGAGUUUAAAAAAAUUGGGGAAGGCCUGGGCAUAGUGGUUCACACCUGUAAUCUCAGCACUUUGGGUGGCCAAGGCGGGCGGAUCACUUGGGCUCAGGAGUUUGAGACCAGCCUUGCCAACAUGGUAAAACCCCAUCUCUACUAAAAAUACAAAAAUUAGUUGGGCACUGUGAUGUGCAUCUGUCAUCCCAGCUACUUGAAAGGCUGAGGUGGGAGAAUCAUUUGAACCCAGGAGGCGAAAGUUGCAGUGGACCUGGAUCCUGCCACUGCACUCCAGCCUGGGUGACAGAGUGAGACUCCAUCUCAAGAAAAAUUAAAAAUUGGGGAAGAAUUGGCAUAGAAAGCCAUUAGCUGGGCUAUCUUUUGCCCUCUCUCUGGUCCCAGCUUGUGUGAUCAUGGCUGGGCUUGCUGGCCAAGCCUGUCAUUCCAGAUGACACUAAGGCCUUUUCAGGGCUAGAGAGACCUGCAGCCACCCAUGGUUGGCAAGGCUGAGUGGUUCUAGGCACAGCUGGAAAUGAAACUGGUGAUGGGGGCAGCCCUAUCAUCUUUACAGGGAACCUCACGCAGCAGGUGGGCAGCAAGCUGGCCUCUCCGCAUGGCUGAGCCAUCUGCUGAGUGACAAGGCCCAUGUGACAGGUAGGAGAUGAAGCUCCUUGUGCUCUGUCUCCUUUGUGACCAGGCUAGGCUGUGGGCCAAAAGCCUCCUGAUGGUCUUUAUCGCCCCAGCCUCUCAAUAUCAACAUCUCAUCUAAGGACAGAUGCAGGCUCAGUGUGAGCCCCCAGAACUUCCCAAAAAUUCCAACUGUCCCCACAAACCUUAAAAUAGCAGAUUUUGGGUUGUUCUUAUUCUCACCCAUGAUAAGAAACGUAUGUAACAUUUUGACCUAAAAUACACGGGGCAUUUAAAACACACAGGCUGAGCAGAUGCUGGCACUGUGCCAGAGCUAGAAUGGUGACACCAGGGUGUGCCGCUUAUGUGUUCUGAAAGAUUUUAAGGUAAGGACAGGAGCUGGGGCUGGGGGCACUUGGAGCGGUGGCUGUUGACCACCUCAUGUGGGUGUUUGGGAGUCGUAACAGCUGGCCCAUUUCCACCUGUGUGUUCUAAAUGACCUUCAGUGUUGCAGAAGCAGAAGCUUCAGAAGGUGAAAUUUACCCAACGACCCAUGAUGUGUGGUUAAUUCUUUUGUCAUCUGACCUAUUUGAUUUUGUUUCAUUCUACUUUUUUUGAGACAGAGUCUCACAGUAUUGCUCAGACUGGAUGCAAUGGUGCAAUCUUGGCUCACCGCAGCCUCUGACUCCUGGGUUCAAGCAAUUCUCCUGCCUCAGCCUCCUGAGUAGCUGGGAUUACAGGUGCCUUCCACCCCUGGUUAUUUAUUUGUUUGUUUGUAUUUUUGUAGAGAGAGGGUUUUACUAUGUUGGCCAGGCUGGUCUGAAACUCCUGACCUCAGGAAAUCUGCCUGCCUUGGCCUCCCAAAGUGCUUGGAUUACAGGAAUGAGCCACUGUGCCCGGCUUUAUUCUACUUUAUCCUUGGGCCAACCAUAGUCUCACACCUAUAAUCGCAGAACUUUGGGAAGCCAAGGCAAGAGAAUUGCUUGAGCCCAGGAGUUCAAGACCAGCCUGGGAAACAUACUGAGACCCCUGUUUCUACAGAAAAAAGAAAUGUGUGUGUGUGUGUGUGUGUGUGUGUGUGUGUGUGUGUGUGUAUAUAUAUAUAUAUAUAUAUAUAUGCGUGCGCGCGCACACACACACACGUUAGCCAAGAUGGUGGCACAUGUCUGUAGUACCAGCUACUUGGGAGGCUGAGGUGAAACGAUUGAUUGUGCCUUGGA
Molecule: long non-coding RNA, 5062 nt
Organism: Callithrix jacchus (white-tufted-ear marmoset)
Lineage: Eukaryota; Metazoa; Chordata; Mammalia; Primates; Cebidae
Source: Ensembl